Molecule: transfer RNA, 67 nt
Filed under: Gyrodactylus kobayashii
Lineage: Eukaryota; Metazoa; Platyhelminthes; Monogenea; Gyrodactylidea; Gyrodactylidae
Description: tRNA-Arg
Source: RNAcentral
GCCAAUGUCUUGUAGUCAAGGAUAAUGUUUCGGCCAUUAUUUAUGUAGUUAUGCUCUACCUUUGGUU